Molecule: long non-coding RNA, 1737 nt
Organism: Coturnix japonica (Japanese quail)
Lineage: Eukaryota; Metazoa; Chordata; Aves; Galliformes; Phasianidae
Source: Ensembl
AACAUGACUCCUCAGUCAUUGAUAUUUCAAGCAUAAUUUAACAUGGAACAGACAUAGAAAAGGAAAUGCCUUCAUUUUGAGUUGCAAUUUUAGAAAUACAAACUAUCCACACAACUUACCAGCUGCAACCAUUUCUUUCUUCUGGGAUUUCAGCGCAAAAUCCUCCUGAAGACCUCAGCAAUCUCCCUCCCCUUUCCAGGAAAGAAUUGUUAGCUCAUUUUUAAGUAACGUCCAUACUAGCCUGGUGAACAGGACAUGAGCUUUCUUAACUGCGGAAGAAGUAAAAACUAGCAUUUUGUCAAACCCACACCAAAACUUAUUAAAAGUUUGACAAAAAGAAUUUCAGUGCUCUUCCUUCGUUGCUUCCCACACAAGUGGCCAUGCUGCUCAUAUUGUAGGAGUAAAACCUGUCUUACAAAGAUCGUUGAUCCUGUCAUUACUAAUCAGUUCUGAAUUUCAACCAGAAAGUAAAUACAGAGGCAUGUCACAUAACUCACCUUCUACAUGUGUAUCACCUUCACUUGUAUUAAAUAUUUGCUAAGAGGUAGAAGUGGGAGGAAGCCACUGAGACUGAAAAGAAGCCAGAAAUAAAUCCAGUUACUGCUUCCUGACCCUCAAUUUUAUUUGUUUUUUGGUGUUUUUUUUUUUCUUUAACCUUGCUGAGCCUUUGAGUUUUUUUGGACAUCUCAUCUUUGCCUCUAAACAAAUUCAGUGGUUUACCACCAGGGAACUAACUCAGCCACUGUUGUGGCAAAACAUGAGCUACACAGCACAAAAGCCAAGAGGUUGUUGCCAAGGAAGUUAUUGAUAAAGUUCAAUGUAAGUAAGAAAUUCAACAGCUGUUGAUCUGCUGCUCCGCUGGACUGAUACUUGGGUAGACCUGUUUAAUGAUCUGCUCAUUCACUGAACUCUGAUAUCAGGCCUGCCUCAGUAACUUGGGAUCUUGGAGAUUCCUUCUGAUCCCUCACCUUCUUCGAACAAAUAUCUAGCUUCCUGCCUUCCAUAGCACGGUCCCUCAGCUAAUUUCACUCUUUCCUCCCAAAAAUUCUCCAAUCUUCCUAUCCUGUUUUCUCCGCUGUCCACAGACACAGCUCUGCUACUGACAGGACAUUCAAUCUUUCUACUUUAUUCAGUGAGUACUACUUGAAUUAUCAAGGUAGAGGUUGGUUAAUACAGAAAAGACUUCUGUCUAAGCUGCCAUUUAAAUUUUUGACACCGUGUUAACUGAACUAGAUGUUUUCAAAUGUCAUUUUGCACUCUGUCAAAAAGCUUUCACCCAUAUUUCACCCUAUCAGAAAGACAAUGACACUGUUUAAUAUCAGUUGUUGAGAGACAUCCAAGAGGUGCUUCUAAAUCAUCUCCUUUGCCAUGUACCCAAAUGCUUACAGAUAAGAAUCAGUUCGGAAAUCACGACAGAAAUCGUCUAAGCAUAAAAUGGGGAGGUGGGGUGGGAUUUUGCGUGCUCCUCUUCACUGUGUAAUUCAAGUCUAGAUUUUCAAAGAUGCUCAACUCUAAGCAGCCAAAAUGCCUCUUCAGAAUGUGAGAAGACUGUGUACUUGUGUCUAAUUGUUGUGACAAAACUGUAACAGCAAAAUUUUAGGAUCUGACUUGCUUCUUUGGUACAAAUUUUUGCAUCUUAUAAGAGAAAAAAAUCUUUCAUUACCCAACUAACGUGAUUAAAUGUAUUUAUAUAUAAAGAAUAUAAGCACGUAUGUGUGUAAGUAUAUACAAUCAAAU